RNAcentral lists this ribosomal RNA (406 nucleotides) under uncultured bacterium. RNAcentral's name for it is "partial 16S ribosomal RNA". It matches the Rfam family "Bacterial small subunit ribosomal RNA", at positions 30 to 526 of the family's 1533-position model. The record is from RNAcentral.
AUUGAACGCUGGCGGCAGGCCUAACACAUGCAAGUCGAGCGAGCGGCGGACGGGUGAGUAAUGUCUGGGAAACUGCCAGUUGGAGGGGGAUAACUACUGGAAACGGUGGCUAAUACCGCAUACAACCAGAUGUGACCAGAUGGGGUUAGCUAGUAGGUGGGGUAACGGCGCACCUAGGCGACGAUCGCUUGCUGGUCUGAGAGGAUGACCAGCCACCCUGGAACUGGGACACGGUCCAGACGCCUACGUGAGGCAGCAGUGGGGAAUUUUGCACAAUGGGCGCAAGCCUGAUGCAGCCAUGCCGCGUGUGUGAAGAAGGCCUUCGGGUUGUAAAGCACUUUCUGCGGGUAGGCGUUACCCGCAGAAGAAGCACCGGCUAACUCCGUGCCAGCAGCCGCGGUAAUAC